GGGGCCCUUCCUGGCGAGGUGGCUGCAGCCUCUCUGCACAAGCCGAGAUCCAGUGCUGGCGGGGCGCCCCCUCCCCAGCCCAGCCCAGUCCACUCCAUCUGAACACGACUGUGAUUCCCAUUCUCUAGCAAGUACAGGUUAUUUGGAACACCUUUUAAUUUGAAAAGCAGCUCUCUGUCAGCGAACAUAUGAAUUAGAGACCAAAAUUUAUCCCAUACAACAGGAUCCUGAAAGGGCAGGAAAUGUGCAGUGCUCCCCCGAAGCCUUCAGAGUUCCAUUGAAAGACGCCAGCUUGUACAAAUUAGAUUAGGUGGCAGACCCAGAUCAUUUCCUUGGAA
Long non-coding RNA from Podarcis muralis (Common wall lizard), 338 nucleotides. RefSeq lists it as uncharacterized. Lineage: Eukaryota; Metazoa; Chordata; Lepidosauria; Squamata; Lacertidae. The record is from RefSeq and is a predicted model, not a curated record.